GAUGAACGCUGGCGGCGUGCCUAAUACAUGCAAGUCGAGCGAACAGACGAGGAGCUUGCUCCUCUGACGUUAGCGGCGGACGGGUGAGUAACACGUGGAUAACCUACCUAUAAGACUGGGAUAACUUCGGGAAACCGGAGCUAAUACCGGAUAAUAUAUUGAACCGCAUGGUUCAAUAGUGAAAGACGGUUUUGCUGUCACUUAUAGAUGGAUCCGCGCCGCAUUAGCUAGUUGGUAAGGUAACGGCUUACCAAGGCAACGAUGCGUAGCCGACCUGAGAGGGUGAUCGGCCACACUGGAUCUGAGACACGGUCCAGACUCCUACGGGAGGCAGCAGUAGGGAAUCUUACGCAAUGGGCGAAAGCCUGACGGAGCAACGCCGCGUGAGUGAUGAAGGUCUUCGGAUCGUAAAACACUGUUAUUAGGGAAGAACAAAUGUGUAAGUAACUAUGCACGUCUUGACGGUACCUAAUCAGAAAGCCACGGCUAACUACGUG
Molecule: ribosomal RNA, 497 nt
Filed under: uncultured bacterium
Lineage: Bacteria
Description: partial 16S ribosomal RNA
Rfam family: Bacterial small subunit ribosomal RNA
Source: RNAcentral